GACGAACGCUGGCGGCGUGCUUAACACAUGCAAGUCGAACGAGACGAUUGAAAGCUUGCUUUCGAAAGUCGAGUGGCAAACGGGUGAGUAACGCGUAGACAACCUGCCUUUGAGAUGGGGACAACAGUUCGAAAGGACUGCUAAUACCGAAUGUUGUAUGUUUUCCACAUGGAAGAUAUAUUAAAGAUGGCCUCUAUUUAUAAGCUAUCGCUCAAAGAUGGGUCUGCGUCUGAUUAGCUAGUUGGUGGGGUAACGGCCUACCAAGGCGACGAUCAGUAGCCGGUCUGAGAGGAUGAACGGCCACAUUGGGACUGAGACGCGGCCCAGACUCCUACGGGAGGCAGCAGUGGGGAAUCUUCCACAAUGGACGAAAGUCUGAUGGAGCAACGCCGCGUGAGUGAAGAAGGGUUUCGGCUCGUAAAGCUCUGUUGUCGGGGACGAAUGUGCAGUAUUUGAAUAAAGUACUGUAAUGACGGUACCUGACGAGGGAGCCACGGCUAACUACGUGCCAGCCGCCGCGGUAA
Molecule: ribosomal RNA, 524 nt
Filed under: uncultured bacterium
Lineage: Bacteria
Description: partial 16S ribosomal RNA
Rfam family: Bacterial small subunit ribosomal RNA
Source: RNAcentral